This 21-nucleotide non-coding RNA is filed under the name Caenorhabditis elegans. The record is from RNAcentral. Lineage: Eukaryota; Metazoa; Nematoda; Chromadorea; Rhabditida; Rhabditidae.
UCAGUUUUGGGAACACAAAGA